CAGGCUUAACACAUGCAAGUCGAGGGGCAGCACAGGUAGCAAUACCGGGUGGCGACCGGCGCACGGGUGAGUAACGCGUAUGCAACUUGCCUAUCAGAGGGGGAUAACCCGGCGAAAGUCGGACUAAUACCGCAUGAAGCAGGGAUCCCGCAUGGGAAUAUUUGCUAAAGAUUCAUCGCUGAUAGAUAGGCAUGCGUUCCAUUAGGCAGUUGGCGGGGUAACGGCCCACCAAACCGACGAUGGAUAGGGGUUCUGAGAGGAAGGUCCCCCACAUUGGUACUGAGACACGGACCAAACUCCUACGGGAGGCAGCAGUGAGGAAUAUUGGUCAAUGGGCGUAAGCCUGAACCAGCCAAGUCGCGUGAGGGAUGAAGGUUCUAUGGAUCGUAAACCUCUUUUAUAAGGGAAUAAAGUGCGGGACGUGUCCCGUUUUGUAUGUACCUUAUGAAUAAGGAUCGGCUAACUCCGUGCCAGCAGCCGCGGUAAUACGGAGGAUCCGAGCGUUAUCCGGAUUUAUUGGGUUUAAAGGGUGCGUAGGCGGCCUUUUAAGUCAGCGGUGAAAGUCUGUGGCUCAACCAUAGAAUUGCCGUUGAAACUGGGGGGCUUGAGUAUGUUUGAGGCAGGCGGAAUGCGUGGUGUAGCGGUGAAAUGCAUAGAUAUCACGCAGAACCCCGAUUGCGAAGGCAGCCUGCCAAGCCAUUACUGACGCUGAUGCACGAAAGCGUGGGGAUCAAACAGGAUUAGAUACCCUGGUAGUCCACGCAGUAAACGAUGAUCACUAGCUGUUUGCGAUACACUGUAAGCGGCACAGCGAAAGCGUUAAGUGAUCCACCUGGGGAGUACGCCGGCAACGGUGAAACUCAAAGGAAUUGACGGGGGCCCGCACAAGCGGAGGAACAUGUGGUUUAAUUCGAUGAUACGCGAGGAACCUUACCCGGGUUUGAACGCAUUCGGACCGAGGUGGAAACACCUUUUCUAGCAAUAGCCGUUUGCGAGGUGCUGCAUGGUUGUCGUCAGCUCGUGCCGUGAGGUGUCGGCUUAAGUGCCAUAACGAGCGCAACCCUUGCCACUAGUUACUAACAGGUAAAGCUGAGGACUCUGGUGGGACUGCCAGCGUAAGCUGCGAGGAAGGCGGGGAUGACGUCAAAUCAGCACGGCCCUUACAUCCGGGGCGACACACGUGUUACAAUGGCGUGGACAAAGGGAAGCCACCUGGCGACAGGGAGCGAAUCCCCAAACCACGUCUCAGUUCGGAUCGGAGUCUGCAACCCGACUCCGUGAAGCUGGAUUCGCUAGUAAUCGCGCAUCAGCCAUGGCGCGGUGAAUACGUUCCCGGGCCUUGUACACACCGCCCGUCAAGCCAUGGGAGCCGGGGGUACCUGAAGUCCGUAACCGCGAGGAUCGGCCUAGGGUAAAACUGGUGACUGGGGCUAAGUC
This 1437-nucleotide ribosomal RNA is filed under the name uncultured organism. Its description in RNAcentral is "16S ribosomal RNA". It matches the Rfam family "Bacterial small subunit ribosomal RNA". The record is from RNAcentral.